AAGUGGGAAGAGAGAAAGGGAAAAGAAUAUUUCAUAUUUGUAUUUGUAUUUGUACUGCUUUUUUUUCGAU
RNAcentral lists this non-coding RNA (70 nucleotides) under Palpitomonas bilix. The record is from RNAcentral.